AGAGUUUGAUCCUGGCUCAGGAUGAACGCUAGCGGCAGGCUUAACACAUGCAAGUCGAGGGGUAUAUGUCUUCGGAUAUAGAGACCGGCGCACGGGUGCGUAACGCGUAUGCAAUCUACCUUUUACAGGGGAAUAGCCCAGAGAAAUUUGGAUUAAUGCCCCAUAGUAUUAUGAAAUGGCAUCAUUUUAUAAUUAAAGUCACAACGGUAAAAGAUGAGCAUGCGUCCCAUUAGUUAGUUGGUAAGGUAACGGCUUACCAAGACAAUGAUGGGUAGGGGUCCUGAGAGGGAGAUCCCCCACACUGGUACUGAGACACGGACCAGACUCCUACGGGAGGCAGCAGUGAGGAAUAUUGGACAAUGGGCGCAAGCCUGAUCCAGCCAUGCCGCGUGCAGGAAGACGGUCCUAUGGAUUGUAAACUGCUUUUAUACAGGAAGAAACACUCCGACGUGUCGGAGCUUGACGGUACUGUAGGAAUAAGGAUCGGCUAACUCCGUGCCAGCAGCCGCGGUAAUACGGAGGAUCCAAGCGUUAUCCGGAAUCAUUGGGUUUAAAGGGUCCGUAGGCGGUUUAAUAAGUCAGUGGUGAAAUCUGGUCGCUCAACGAUCAAACGGCCAUUGAUACUGUUAGACUUGAAUUAUAAGGAAGUAACUAGAAUAUGUAGUGUAGCGGUGAAAUGCUUAGAUAUUACAUGGAAUACCAAUUGCGAAGGCAGGUUACUACUUAUGGAUUGACGCUGAUGGACGAAAGCGUGGGGAGCGAACAGGAUUAGAUACCCUGGUAGUCC
This 787-nucleotide ribosomal RNA is filed under the name uncultured bacterium. RNAcentral describes it as "bacterial SSU rRNA". It matches the Rfam family "Bacterial small subunit ribosomal RNA", at positions 8 to 796 of the family's 1533-position model. The record is from RNAcentral.